UCGAUCGGGUAGUAGGUAAGCGAUGGGGUGACGCAGGAAGGUAGUCCAGCCCAGGCGAUGGUUGUCCUGGGGUAAGCAUGUAGGGCGGAACGUAGGUAAAUCCGCGUUCUAUUCAGCCUGAGAUGUGAUGCCGAGCCGAUUGUGGUGAAGUGGAUGAUCCUAUGCUGCCGAGAAAAGCCUCUAGUGAGUGUUGUGGCGGCCCGUACCCUAAACCGUCUCAGGUGGUCAGGUAGAGAAUACCAAGGCGAUCGGGUGAACUGUGGUUAAGGAACUCGGCAAAUUGCCCCCGUAACUUCGGGAGAAGGGGGACCUCUGCUGGUGAUGGGCUUUACGUUCUGAGCUGGUGGGGGUCGCAGUGGCCAGGGGGAAGCGACUGUUUACUAAAAACACAGGUCCGUGCGAAGUCGUAAGACGAUGUAUACGGACUGACGCCUGCCCGGUGCCGGAACGUUAAGGGGACCGCUUAGCCAGCUUCGGUUGGCGAAGGUGAGAACUUAAGCGCCGGUAAACGGCGGUGGUAACUAUAACCAUCCUAAGGUAGCGAAAUUCCUUGUCGGGUAAGUUCCGACCUGCACGAAUGGCGUAACGACUUCCCCGCUGUCUCAACCACAGACCCGGCGAAAUUGCACUACGAGUAAAGAUGCUCGUUUCGCGCAGCAGGACGGAAAGACCCCGGGACCUUCACUACAGCUUGACAUUGGCGUUUGGAACGUCUUGUGUAGGAUAGGUGGUAGACUGGGAAGCUGUCACGCUAGUGAUGGUGGAGUCAUUGGUGAAAUACCACUCUGGUCGUUUUGAACGUCUAACUCUGGUCCGUGAUCCGGAUCGGGGACAGUGUCUGGUGGGUAGUUUAACUGGGGCGGUUGCCUCCUAAAGAGUAACGGAGGCGCCCAAAGGUUCCCUCAGCCUGGUUGGCAAUCAGGUGUUGAGUGUAAGUGCACAAGGGAGCUUGACUGUGAGACUGACAGGUCGAGCAGGAGCGAAAGCUGGGACUAGUGAUCCGGCAUCGGCGUGUGGAAGCGGUGUCGCUCAACGGCUAAAAGGUACCCCGGGGAUAACAGGCUGAUCCUCCCCAAGAGUCCAUAUCGACGGGAUGGUUUGGCACCUCGAUGUCGGCUCGUCGCAUCCUGGGGCUGGAGUAAGUCCCAAGGGUUGGGCUGUUCGCCCAUUAAAGCGGUACGCGAGCUGGGUUUAGAACGUCGCGAGACAGUUCGGUCCCUAUCCGCUGCGCGCGCAGGAGACUUGAAGGGGGCUGUCUCUAGUACGAGAGGACCGGGACGGACGAACCUCUGGUGUGCCAGUUGUACCGCCAGGUGCACGGCUGGUUGGCUACGUUCGGAAGGGAUAACCGCUGAAAGCAUCUAAGCGGGAAGCUCGCCUUGAGAUGAGGUCUCCCACCACGAGAGUGGGUAAGGCUCCCGGUAGAUCACCGGGUUGAUAGGCCGGAGGUGGAAGCACGGUAACGUGUGGAGCUGACCGGUACUAAUAGGCCGAGGACUUGACCUC
RNAcentral lists this ribosomal RNA (1506 nucleotides) under metagenome. RNAcentral's name for it is "bacterial LSU rRNA". It matches the Rfam family "Bacterial large subunit ribosomal RNA", at positions 1443 to 2925 of the family's 2925-position model. The record is from RNAcentral.